RNAcentral lists this transfer RNA (74 nucleotides) under Actinomycetota bacterium. RNAcentral describes it as "Actinobacteria bacterium tRNA-Pro". It matches the Rfam family "tRNA". From Rfam's summary of the family: Transfer RNA (tRNA) molecules are approximately 80 nucleotides in length. Their secondary structure includes four short double-helical elements and three loops (D, anti-codon, and T loops). The record is from RNAcentral. Lineage: Bacteria; Bacillati; Actinomycetota.
CCGGGUGUGGCGCAGCUUGGUAGCGCGCGUCGUUCGGGACGACGAGGCCGAAGGUUCAACUCCUUUCACCCGGA